Molecule: non-coding RNA, 24 nt
Filed under: Arabidopsis thaliana (thale cress)
Lineage: Eukaryota; Viridiplantae; Streptophyta; Magnoliopsida; Brassicales; Brassicaceae
Source: RNAcentral
UACAUAUUGUUCUUGGGGCUUGGA